This 253-nucleotide ribosomal RNA is filed under the name uncultured bacterium. RNAcentral describes it as "partial 16S ribosomal RNA". It matches the Rfam family "Bacterial small subunit ribosomal RNA", at positions 524 to 776 of the family's 1533-position model. The record is from RNAcentral.
UACAGAGGGUGCGGGCGUUAAUCGGAAUUACUGGGCGUAAAGCGAGCGUAGUCGGUUAUUUAAGUCGGGUGUGAAAGCCCCGGGCUCAACCUGGGAAUUGCAUUCGAUACUGGAUAGCUAGAGUUCGGCAGAGGGAAGCGGAAUUUCCGGUGUAGCGGUGAAAUGCGUAGAUAUCGGAAGGAACAUCAGUGGCGAAGGCGACUGCCUGGCCCAACACUGACGCUGAGACGCGAAAGCUAGGGUAGCAAACGGG